AGCGUACACGGUGGAUGCCCUGGCAGUCAGAGGCGAUGAAGGACGUGCUAAUCUGCGAUAAGCGUCGGUAAGGUGAUAUGAACCGUUAUAACCGGCGAUUUCCGAAUGGGGAAACCCAGUGUGUUUCGACACACUAUCAUUAACUGAAUCCAUAGGUUAAUGAGGCGAACCGGGGGAACUGAAACAUCUAAGUACCCCGAGGAAAAGAAAUCAACCGAGAUUCCCCCAGUAGCGGCGAGCGAACGGGGAGCAGCCCAGAGCCUGAAUCAGUAUGUGUGUUAGUGGAAGCGUCUGGAAAGGCGCGCGAUACAGGGUGACAGCCCCGUACACAAAAAUGCACAUGCUGUGAGCUCGAUGAGUAGGGCGGGACACGUGGUAUCCUGUCUGAAUAUGGGGGGACCAUCCUCCAAGGCUAAAUACUCCUGACUGACCGAUAGUGAACCAGUACCGUGAGGGAAAGGCGAAAAGAACCCCGGCGAGGGGAGUGAAAAAGAACCUGAAACCGUGUACGUACAAGCAGUGGGAGCACGCUUAGGCGUGUGACUGCGUACCUUUUGUAUAAUGGGUCAGCGACUUAUAUUCUGUAGCAAGGUUAACCGAAUAGGGGAGCCGAAGGGAAACCGAGUCUUAACUGGGCGUUAAGUUGCAGGGUAUAGACCCGAAACCCGGUGAUCUAGCCAUGGGCAGGUUGAAGGUUGGGUAACACUAACUGGAGGACCGAACCGACUAAUGUUGAAAAAUUAGCGGAUGACUUGUGGCUGGGGGUGAAAGGCCAAUCAAACCGGGAGAUAGCUGGUUCUCCCCGAAAGCUAUUUAGGUAGCGCCUCGUGAAUUCAUCUCCGGGGGUAGAGCACUGUUUCGGCAAGGGGGUCAUCCCGACUUACCAACCCGAUGCAAACUGCGAAUACCGGAGAAUGUUAUCACGGGAGACACACGGCGGGUGCUAACGUCCGUCGUGAAGAGGGAAACAACCCAGACCGCCAGCUAAGGUCCCAAAGUCAUGGUUAAGUGGGAAACGAUGUGGGAAGGCCCAGACAGCCAGGAUGUUGGCUUAGAAGCAGCCAUCAUUUAAAGAAAGCGUAAUAGCUCACUGGUCGAGUCGGCCUGCGCGGAAGAUGUAACGGGGCUAAACCAUGCACCGAAGCUGCGGCAGCGACGCUGAUGCGUUGUUGGGUAGGGGAGCGUUCUGUAAGCCUGCGAAGGUGUGCUGUGAGGCAUGCUGGAGGUAUCAGAAGUGCGAAUGCUGACAUAAGUAACGAUAAAGCGGGUGAAAAGCCCGCUCGCCGGAAGACCAAGGGUUCCUGUCCAACGUUAAUCGGGGCAGGGUGAGUCGACCCCUAAGGCGAGGCCGAAAGGCGUAGUCGAUGGGAAACAGGUUAAUAUUCCUGUACUUGGUGUUACUGCGAAGGGGGGACGGAGAAGGCUAUGUUGGCCGGGCGACGGUUGUCCCGGUUUAAGCGUGUAGGCUGGUUUUCCAGGCAAAUCCGGAAAAUCAAGGCUGAGGCGUGAUGACGAGGCACUACGGUGCUGAAGCAACAAAUGCCCUGCUUCCAGGAAAAGCCUCUAAGCAUCAGGUAACAUCAAAUCGUACCCCAAACCGACACAGGUGGUCAGGUAGAGAAUACCAAGGCGCUUGAGAGAACUCGGGUGAAGGAACUAGGCAAAAUGGUGCCGUAACUUCGGGAGAAGGCACGCUGAUAUGUAGGUGAAGCGACUUGCUCGUGGAGCUGAAAUCAGUCGAAGAUACCAGCUGGCUGCAACUGUUUAUUAAAAACACAGCACUGUGCAAACACGAAAGUGGACGUAUACGGUGUGACGCCUGCCCGGUGCCGGAAGGUUAAUUGAUGGGGUCAGCGCAAGCGAAGCUCUUGAUCGAAGCCCCGGUAAACGGCGGCCGUAACUAUAACGGUCCUAAGGUAGCGAAAUUCCUUGUCGGGUAAGUUCCGACCUGCACGAAUGGCGUAAUGAUGGCCAGGCUGUCUCCACCCGAGACUCAGUGAAAUUGAACUCGCUGUGAAGAUGCAGUGUACCCGCGGCAAGACGGAAAGACCCCGUGAACCUUUACUAUAGCUUGACACUGAACAUUGAGCCUUGAUGUGUAGGAUAGGUGGGAGGCUUUGAAGUGUGGACGCCAGUCUGCAUGGAGCCGACCUUGAAAUACCACCCUUUAAUGUUUGAUGUUCUAACGUUGACCCGUGAUCCGGGUUGCGGACAGUGUCUGGUGGGUAGUUUGACUGGGGCGGUCUCCUCCUAAAGAGUAACGGAGGAGCACGAAGGUUGGCUAAUCCUGGUCGGACAUCAGGAGGUUAGUGCAAUGGCAUAAGCCAGCUUGACUGCGAGCGUGACGGCGCGAGCAGGUGCGAAAGCAGGUCAUAGUGAUCCGGUGGUUCUGAAUGGAAGGGCCAUCGCUCAACGGAUAAAAGGUACUCCGGGGAUAACAGGCUGAUACCGCCCAAGAGUUCAUAUCGACGGCGGUGUUUGGCACCUCGAUGUCGGCUCAUCACAUCCUGGGGCUGAAGUAGGUCCCAAGGGUAUGGCUGUUCGCCAUUUAAAGUGGUACGCGAGCUGGGUUUAGAACGUCGUGAGACAGUUCGGUCCCUAUCUGCCGUGGGCGCUGGAGAACUGAGGGGGGCUGCUCCUAGUACGAGAGGACCGGAGUGGACGCAUCACUGGUGUUCGGGUUGUCAUGCCAAUGGCACUGCCCGGUAGCUAAAUGCGGAAGAGAUAAGUGCUGAAAGCAUCUAAGCACGAAACUUGCCCCGAGAUGAGUUCUCCCUGACUCCUUGA
Molecule: ribosomal RNA, 2787 nt
Filed under: Escherichia coli
Lineage: Bacteria; Pseudomonadati; Pseudomonadota; Gammaproteobacteria; Enterobacterales; Enterobacteriaceae
Description: bacterial LSU rRNA
Rfam family: Bacterial large subunit ribosomal RNA
Source: RNAcentral